RNAcentral lists this ribosomal RNA (264 nucleotides) under uncultured bacterium. RNAcentral's name for it is "partial 16S ribosomal RNA". It matches the Rfam family "Bacterial small subunit ribosomal RNA", at positions 793 to 1055 of the family's 1533-position model. The record is from RNAcentral.
GUCCUAGCCCUAAACGAUGGAUGCUUGGUGUAGCGGGUACCCAAUCCCGCUGUGCCGGAGCUAACGCGUUAAGCAUCCCGCCUGGGGAGUACGGUCGAAAGGCUGAAACUCAAAGGAAUUGACGGGGGCCCCGCACAAGCGGUGGAGCAUGUGGUUCAAUUCGACGCAACGCGAAGAACCUUACCUGGGCUCGAAGCGCAGUGGAUAGGAGUGGAAACACUCCUUCCCGCAAGGGCUGCUGCGUAGGUGCUGCAUGGCUGUCGU